GAUCGGACCAAAGCUGUUACUGUCACGGGCAGGGUAGAUCUGGGCUCAGCAGGGAUAUGUAUUUAACCCCCCUGAGCCCUGUGCCAGAUGGGAAGAUCUGUCAAGCCUGAUUGGAGAAAGGCAGCCACUGGGCCUCUUGGAGGGAGUUCUGUGUUAUUCUGGUACUCCCCAAAGUAAUGCUGAGUUGAAGAAGAGUGGACCAGCCAGCUGGCUUCUGGUUGACACCAGAAGAGUGAUGAGGGGGAGAGGGACAAUAAACUGAAUGCAGACUACACACAACAGAUCAGAAACAUGAAGCAGGAGGACCAGAGAGAGCUGUGUGAGUGCCUGCUCUCUGAAGGACUUUAAAUACUGGUAUGAUCCCCACCAGAUUUUUGGUUCAUGUUUCCACAACCUGAAGCUACCAAAAUUUUUUCUAUUUACAUAAUGCAAGAUUUGCAGGGUAUUCAGCAACACAUCCCAGGGUCCACCCUACAAUAUCUGUAUAGAUAUGACAUAAGUGCAGCUCUUCAACACGGUCUUAUGUUGGUAUGUUUGCCUAAUCAAGGUAGGUUAUCACAAUAUUAAUGUUUUAACCAAUGUGAUAAGUUUCCGGGAAGGUAGAAAGCUGAUUUUAGUAGAUGAUUGAAGAAAUAAUCCUACUUAGGAUACAGUUUUUGCAAUAGGAAUAGAAGAAAUAAACAUAAUGUGAUACCAGAACCAAGAGAAAAGGAGUAUAUAACAAUGCCAAAAUUAUAAAAAGAGAGGAGAAAGACAUUUUUGGGAAAGACAGUCCUUUACAUAAAUACUUUAGUUGAGUUGGUAAAUGGAAAAGAGUUCCACUGAUCUUGUUUACUGUUCCAUCAAUCUGUUAGAUAUUUCUGUAGUGCUGUUUGUUUCUUUAAUUUGACAUUACCACUUAUAUGUCUUGUGAAAUACCAUUUGAAUGCCAGGGCAACUGAGAUUUUGGAACACACUGUUGACAGCUGUUUUGGAACUACAAAUACGAUGUGUGCUACAUCUGGUGAGUCCGGAGUGAAAAAAUACAAUGGAAAAGCACAAUUUCUCAUUUGGAGCUGCUGUGCAGGGUUUACAAUAUCCAAGUACCUUACUCAGUAAAGGGACUGUUUAAUGACCUACCCAUAGAGAUAGUCUUUUAUAAUCAGUACAAAGAUUGAUUUGAGUAUUUCUGCAAAGCCGGUCCAUUCUUUCUAACUAGGAAAAUUGACAUAGAACAUGAAAGAGAGAUGCUUUAAAUGCUAAAUUAAAUCAGUGAAUCAAUAAAUGAUCUAAAAAUAUUUUGUCAUUAAUUUUCAUGACACAGCCAUGACUAUGCCAAGCAAGGCAUCAUGUGCACUCAAGCCUAAUAAAGUCUCAUACCUAUGACUCACUGAAAGAAGUAGCAGCCGGCCUCCUGGAAGCUGCAAUGAAUAAUCAAGGGAUUUUUUGGUGUCAGGCUAACAUUGUAGACACUACCAAGUAAAAGAGAGUGAAACCAAAAAUAAUGUACUUAAAAAAGUUAGAAGCAUAACAGCCAGGUGAGCAGUGUUAUCUCUGCCAGCUCCAGAACUGACUAUUCUUCAAAGUGAAUUUUGGUGUGUGUGUAUGUGGGUGAUCUAGAUGUCUGCACUGAUCUGCUCUUCUCCUAGUCCUGUUAUUUUACCAAGAGAAAGAAAGAAAGACUAAACUAACAACAGAAGAGACUGGCGUGCACUCUACACUGCUUCUUUUUCCCUUUCUUUCUUUAAACAGAGGUGGAGGUAUCAGACUGUGGAAUAGGAGUGUCAGACAUACUGAUGUUGCUCUGGGUCCUUGAACAGACUCGGGGUGACCAUUCAAAUAUGAGAAUUUCAGUAUAGGUGGGUACUUGACACUCAGAAGACAGUGCCCUCAGUACUUACAGGAAUCUAAUGGGGAACUGGAGAAAUCAUAAGGUCAUCUGUUAAUUCAGACACAAAUUUUCCUUUCAAUUUAUGUUUCAGAUGGCAAAUUUUUCUCAAGACUUAAUGUACGGGACCAUGAGAGCAACUGAUAGAGCUAAAAAUAAGUAUUUUUUUUCCAAUUAAAAAGGUGCACAGUGAUAUUUUAAAUGUCAAAGAAAUUAUAAUUCAGGCUUUCAUUGUAUUAUUACACUAUGCUGAAGCUAACAGUUUUCCAUUACUCCCUAAAUAAUAUGUAAUAAUGAUUUGAAUAAUAUGUAAUAAUGAUUUAGUGCACAGAAUAAAAAAAAAAUUAAAUAUUCAUAUUGAACCACAGAAGUUCUGGAAACCAUAUAACAUCUGGGUGCAGAGAAAACCCUAGAUCACCCAGCCAUUGUUUGGCCAUUGAUUCUGCAAGUAAAACCUCACUAGCUCCUACAAGUUUGAAAUACUACACAGUCUCUCAAACCUAUUCUGGAUGAGGGAAAACAGAAAAUUAACAUUUCAUAGAGGUAAAAUUGUAAUUUAAACUUUCUCUGAUAUUAAGUGAAUAAGAAGAAAGCUUUCUUAAAUAUAAGAGAACAAUCAGGAAUGUACAGGUCUCUCAUCUAACAAACAAUAACUUUUUUAUGGUCAAGUUUUCUCUUCUUAAGAGAAAAAUGGAGCUGACUAAGUAGCUUUGAUAUUUUCUCCAUUUUCUUUUCCUAACAGUAGCUUUCACUUCAUGUAAAAUCAUUCUGUGGCUGAUAUUCAAAUCCUUUAAAUAUGUAAUUUUCCCAAAAGCUAAAGUCAAGUUCUUUUUCUACUUCUUUAAUACAGAUUGAUUAGAUUGAGUGUCAGAACUCAACUAAGACCAUCUAAUGAUGGAGCUUGCUUCAGGAAAGGCCUUCAACAAGGAGUUGUAGUGCUCUCAGGCUGUCCUAGGCUCUACUGAACUUCUCAAAAUAUGACAGCAGGGGAAGUUUAUUUUGAUGACCACCUGUUCUUAGUUGGC
This is a long non-coding RNA of Pseudopipra pipra, 2892 nucleotides long. RefSeq lists it as uncharacterized. NCBI's taxonomy places the organism in Eukaryota, Metazoa, Chordata, Aves, Passeriformes, Pipridae. The transcript is spliced from 3 exons. The record is from RefSeq and is a predicted model, not a curated record.